RNAcentral lists this ribosomal RNA (497 nucleotides) under uncultured bacterium. RNAcentral's name for it is "partial 16S ribosomal RNA". It matches the Rfam family "Bacterial small subunit ribosomal RNA", at positions 28 to 507 of the family's 1533-position model. The record is from RNAcentral.
GAUGAACGCUGGCGGCGUGCCUAAUACAUGCAAGUCGAGCGAACGGACGAGAAGCUUGCUUCUCUGAUGUUAGCGGCGGACGGGUGAGUAACACGUGGAUAACCUACCUAUAAGACUGGGAUAACUUCGGGAAACCGGAGCUAGUACCGGAUGAUAUUUUGAACCGCAUGGUUCAAAAGUGAAAGACGGUCUUGCUGUCACUUAUAGAUGGAUCCGCGCUGCAUUAGCUAGUUGGUAAGGUAACGGCUUACCAAGGCAACGAUGCAUAGCCGACCUGAGAGGGUGAUCGGCCACACUGGAACUGAGACACGGUCCAGACUCCUACGGAAGGCAGCAGUAGGGAAUCUUCCGCAAUGGGCGAAAGCCUGACGGAGCAACGCCGCGUGAGUGAUGAAGGUCUUCGGAUCGUAAAACUCUGUUAUUAGGGAAGAACAUAUGUGUAAGUAACUGUGCACAUCUUGACGGUACCUAAUCAGAAAGCCACGGCUAACUACGUG